CUGAAAAUCUCCACCAGCCCAAUGUGGUUAAUUCCGUCCGUCUUUGAGAGAAGUUCUGGUUCCUUGUGACGGACACCUCGGUCCGUUCAGGAGAAGAAUUGGUGGCGUGAGAAGAUUCAGGUUAUCAAUAAUCCACAUUAUGAACGAACGAGUCACGUGUCAUGUCUGCAGUACCAUCUGUGGGACUUUGUUCUUUACGAGAGCCCAACUUUAAGAUUCAGCAGGAUAAGAAAUGUGUAUUUUUGGAUAGAAAAAAUGCCGGCAGCAGUUUAAAGAUUUUAAUAAAUUGCAGCAACCUGAAACCUUCUCUUAGAUGAUGCAGAUAUACAGUCCUCCUUCUCCGCCUCUCCAUUGUAUCGUUGUUAGAGGCACCGUGUUCUCUUCAUCCUACCACUCAUCAAAGGUUACACUCUGGGGAGGAAUUACUCUGACCUGCUUUUCUUUCAACGGAUGAUGGGCAAAACAAACAGGAAAUACUACAAUGGGACACAUUACAAAUGCCAAAGCAUUACUCUUCUUUCUUAAUCCCUUGCUGUCAACAUUUCUCACCCAGCAAACUCUUCCACUGCUCCCACAGAGAAAACAAACACAGAAGCCGGACCACACGAUACGAGUUUCUCCGUUACCCUCAGUCUGCCCACGCGCUCCGGAAAUCCUCCGGCAUAAUCAAUGCGUCGGUUAUCCCCCCUUCUCCCCUCCCUGUAUUCUCAGAUGAGCAUAUUAAGAGGCAUUUGUGAUAUUCCCAAGGAGUGAAGAUCAAGGCUCCGAGCUUAUCCACCGCCUGUUUGGCAACCACACAUUUCCCCCGACAGUUGGAGGAAGCCUGGGGGGCUUCAGUGCCAUUCUCCACCUAUCCACUAGAUGCCCUCAGACCUUCACCUGCCCCGCUCACCUGGAUCACUCCUUCACCUGCUCACCUGUAUCCACGUCCACCCAUCAGGCCUGCCGGCGUACAACCGAGCAGUUUCCCACACGUUCAGCAUGUUGCUUGUUGCCUUUGUGUCCCGGAUCUCUGAACCCGAGCUUUACCCCCGAACCUGUUUCUGGCCCUGCUGCUGUUCGACCUCCUGCCUGUUCGCUCACCGGCGCUGCACACACCAUUACACCACUGGAUGAUAAUAUGGAAAAUAUAGAAAUGUGUAGAGAGAAAUGUGUAGCAAAUGACACCUCUUACGGAUACAUAUUUUCCUCUUGAACUGAAGACAUGCAAGCACGCGCACACACACACACACACACACACAC
Molecule: long non-coding RNA, 1242 nt
Organism: Gasterosteus aculeatus aculeatus (three-spined stickleback)
Lineage: Eukaryota; Metazoa; Chordata; Actinopteri; Perciformes; Gasterosteidae
Source: Ensembl